This 252-nucleotide ribosomal RNA is filed under the name uncultured bacterium. RNAcentral's name for it is "partial 16S ribosomal RNA". It matches the Rfam family "Bacterial small subunit ribosomal RNA", at positions 524 to 776 of the family's 1533-position model. The record is from RNAcentral.
UACGGAGGAUGCGAGCGUUAUCCGGAUUUAUUGGGUUUAAAGGGUGCGUAGGCGGGCUUUUAAGUCAGCGGUAAAAAUUCGGGGCUCAACCCCGUCCGGCCGUUGAAACUGGGGGCCUUGAGUGGGCGAGAAGAAGGCGGAAUGCGUGGUGUAGCGGUGAAAUGCAUAGAUAUCACGCAGAACCCCGAUUGCGAAGGCAGCCUUCCGGCGCCCUACUGACGCUGAGGCAUGAAAGUGCGGGGAUCGAACAGG